Molecule: ribosomal RNA, 468 nt
Filed under: uncultured bacterium
Lineage: Bacteria
Description: partial 16S ribosomal RNA
Rfam family: Bacterial small subunit ribosomal RNA
Source: RNAcentral
GACGAACGCUGGCGGCGUGCUUAACACAUGCAAGUCGAACGGAAAGGCCCUGCUUUUGUGGGGUGCUCGAGUGGCGAACGGGUGAGUAACACGUGAGUAACCUGCCCUUGACUUUGGGAUAACUUCAGGAAACUGGGGCUAAUACCGGAUAUGAGCUCCUGCUGCAUGGUGUGGGUUGGAAAGUUUCGGCGGUUGUGGAUGGACUCGCGGCUUAUCAGCUUGUUGGUGGGGUAGUGGCUUACCAAGGCUUUGACGGGUAGCCGGCCUGAGCGGGUGACCGGCGACAUUGGGACUGAGAUACGGACCAGACUCCUACGGGAGGCAGCAGGGGGGAAUAUUGCAGAAUGGGCGGAAGCCUGAGGCAGCAACGCCGCGUGCGGGAUGACGGCCUUCGGGUGGUAAACCGCUUUCGCAUGUGACGAAGCGUGAGUGACGGUAAUGGGUAAAGAAGCACCGGCUAACUACGUG